AGAAGAAGAAGAAGAAGUAGAAGAAGAAGUAGUAGAAGAAGAAGAAGAAAGAAGAAGAAGAAGAAGAAAGAAGAAGAAGAAAGAAGAAGAAGAAGAAGAAGAAGAAGAAGAAAAGAAGAAGAAGAAAAGAAGAAGAAGAAGAAAGAAGAAAGAAGAAGAAGAAGAAGAAGAAGAAGAAGAAGAAAAGAAGAAGAAGAAAAGAAGAAGAAGAAGAAAGAAGAAAGAAGAAGAAGAAGAAGAAGAAGAAGAAGAAGAAGAAGAAGAAGAAAGAAGAAGAAGAAGAAGAAGAAGAAGAAGAAGAAGAAGAAGAAGAAGAAGAAGGAGAAGGAGAAGGAGAAGGAGAAGGAGAAGGAGAAGGAGAAGGAGAGAGAAGGAGAAGAAGGAGAAGGAGAAGGAGGAGGAUGGGGGGUCGGGGCCCUGCGAGGAGCCAGGCUAAGGCCGGGAGGGCCCGGGAGAAGCGGGAACUUGAACGAUCCCAGGAGUCUUCCCGCCGGGAGGGCGCUCACAGGGAGCUCGGGCAGGACCGCAGGAGGGCAGCGGAGCCCCCAGGUUCCCGGGGCCACUAGCAGGAGGGCGCCCGGGGGAGAGCGGGCAGAGCUAGGGGAAGGGCUGGAGCCGCGCCGGGGGGCCUCGGGGAGGAGCCGGGGGGCGGGCGGGGGCUCCGGGCGGAGGGGGCUGCACCUGCUGCCUUCGGGAGCCGCGGCCCGGGGAGCGCGAUUCCAGCGGCGCAGGCCCCGGAGCCCAGGGCGCGGGGGAAACAGCCCGGGACCCUGCCUCCCCCGGGACAGGCGGGGGCAGGGAGGGCCCAGGACAGACGCUCCUGUCCCGGGGCCCCCGAGCUGUGCAGGUCAGCGCCCUCCGCCCCCGGAGCAUCCAGGCCCCUGCGGACUGGUUGCUGUGAUGGUUACUGGGGAGCUGACUCCAGGGCUGGGGAGCUGGCUGCCGCCAGUGGUGGUGUCCCUCCUGGUGUCACCCUGUGCCUGGGAGGGAAGGGGCGCCAGGGAACAGGAGCCUCGGGGUACACAGCUCUGA
RNAcentral lists this long non-coding RNA (1032 nucleotides) under Canis lupus familiaris (dog). Its description in RNAcentral is "lncRNA (ENSCAFG00030024142.1)". Lineage: Eukaryota; Metazoa; Chordata; Mammalia; Carnivora; Canidae. The record is from RNAcentral.